Molecule: ribosomal RNA, 252 nt
Filed under: uncultured bacterium
Lineage: Bacteria
Description: partial 16S ribosomal RNA
Rfam family: Bacterial small subunit ribosomal RNA
Source: RNAcentral
UACGUAGGUGGCAAGCGUUAUCCGGAUUUACUGGGCGUAAAGCGUAUGCAGUCGGUUUAGCAAGUUUGAUGUUAAAGCCUGGAGCUCAACUCCAGCACGCAUUGAAAACUGCUUAACUAGAGUUACGGAGAGGACAGUGGAAUUCCUAGUGGAUCAGUGGAAUGAUUAGAUAUUAGGAGGAACACCAGUGGCGAAGGCGACUGUCUGGACGAUAACUGACGAUCAGAUACGAAAGCGUGGGGAGCAAACAGG